This 481-nucleotide ribosomal RNA is filed under the name uncultured bacterium. Its description in RNAcentral is "partial 16S ribosomal RNA". It matches the Rfam family "Bacterial small subunit ribosomal RNA", at positions 28 to 507 of the family's 1533-position model. The record is from RNAcentral.
GAUGAACGCUGGCGGCGUGCUUAACACAUGCAAGUCGAACGAAGCACUUUAUUUGAUUUCCUUCGGGACUGAUUAUUUUGUGACUGAGUGGCGGACGUGUGAGUAACGCGUGGGUAACCUGCCUUGUACAGGGGGAUAACAGUUGGAAACGGCUGCUAAUACCGCAUAAGCGCACGGCAUCGCAUGAUGCAGUGUGAAAAACUCCGGUGGUAUAAGAUGGACCCGCGUUGGAUUAGCUAGUUGGUGAGGUAACGGCACACCAAGGCGACGAUGCAUAGCCGACAUGAGAGGGUGCCCGGCCACAUUGGGACUGCGGCACAGCCCACAAUCCUACGGGAGGGAGCAGUGGGGAAUACUACAGAAUGGGCGCAAGCGUGAUGCAGCCACGCCGCGUGAGCGAAGAAGUAUUUCGGUAUGUAAAGCUCUAUCAGCAGGGAAGAUAAUGACGGUACCUGACUAAGAAGCACCGGCUAACUACGUG